RNAcentral lists this ribosomal RNA (217 nucleotides) under Paracoccaceae bacterium. RNAcentral describes it as "Rhodobacteraceae bacterium (activated sludge metagenome) partial 16S ribosomal RNA". It matches the Rfam family "Bacterial small subunit ribosomal RNA", at positions 1 to 246 of the family's 1533-position model. Lineage: Bacteria; Pseudomonadati; Pseudomonadota; Alphaproteobacteria; Rhodobacterales; Paracoccaceae. The record is from RNAcentral.
CAACUUGAGAGUUUGAUCCUGGCUCAGAACGAACGCUGGCGGCAGGCCUAACACAUGCAAGUCGAGCGGACCCUUCGGGGUUAGCGGCGGACGGGUUAGUAACGCGUGGGAAUAUGCCCAAAGGUACGGAAUAGCCUCGGGAAACUGAGAGUAAUACCGUAUGUGCCCUUCGGGGGAAAGAUUUAUCGCCUUUGGAUUAGCCCGCGUUGGAUUAGGU